Molecule: ribosomal RNA, 388 nt
Filed under: uncultured bacterium
Lineage: Bacteria
Description: partial 16S ribosomal RNA
Rfam family: Bacterial small subunit ribosomal RNA
Source: RNAcentral
AUACGUAGGUGGCAAGCGUUAUCCGGAAUUAUUGGGCGUAAAGAGUGAGCAGGCGGUUAAUUAAGUCCGAGGUUAACGCGGGGGGCUCAACCCCAUAACGCCUUGGAAACUGAUUGACUAGAGUACGGGAGAAGUGAAGGGAACUCCAUGUGUAGCGGUGAAAUGCGUAGAUAUAUGGAAGAACACCAGUGGCGAAGGCGCUUCACUAGCCCGAAACUGACGCUCAGUCACGAAAGCGUGGGUAGCAAAUAGGAUUAGAUACCCUAGUAGUCCACGCUGUAAACGAUGACAACUAAAUAUUGCCGCGAAGCAGUGUUGAAGCUAACGCAUUAAGUUGUCCGCCUGGGGAGUACGGUCGCAAGACUGAAACUCAAAGGAAUUGACGGGG